GAUGAACGCUAGCGGCAGGCCUAACACAUGCAAGUCGAGGGGCAGCACGUCUUCGGAUGGUGGCGACCGGCGCACGGGUGCGUAACGCGUAUGCAACCUACCUCUUACAGUGGGAUAGCCCAGAGAAAUUUGGAUUAAUACCGCAUAGUAUACAGAUUCAGCAUUGGGACUGUAUUAAACAUUUAUGGGUAAGAGAUGGGCAUGCGUUCUAUUAGUUAGUUGGAGUGGUAACGGCACCCCAAGACAGCGAUAGAUAGGGGCCCUGAGAGGGGGAUCCCCCACACUGGUACUGAGACACGGACCAGACUCCUACGGGAGGCAGCAGUGAGGAAUAUUGGACAAUGGCGAGAGCUGAUCCAGCCAUGCCGCGUGCAGGAAGACGGCCCUUAUGGGUUGUAAACUGCUUUUGUA
Molecule: ribosomal RNA, 411 nt
Filed under: uncultured bacterium
Lineage: Bacteria
Description: bacterial SSU rRNA
Rfam family: Bacterial small subunit ribosomal RNA
Source: RNAcentral